RNAcentral lists this ribosomal RNA (253 nucleotides) under uncultured bacterium. RNAcentral's name for it is "partial 16S ribosomal RNA". It matches the Rfam family "Bacterial small subunit ribosomal RNA", at positions 524 to 776 of the family's 1533-position model. The record is from RNAcentral.
UACGGAGGGUGCGAGCGUUAAUCGGAAUUACUGGGCGUAAAGCGCGCGUAGGCGGCUUGUUAAGUCGGAUGUGAAAUCCCCGAGCUCAACUUGGGAACUGCAUUCGAUACUGGCAGGCUAGAGUGUGGUAGAGGAAAGUGGAAUUCCCGGUGUAGCGGUGAAAUGCGUAGAUAUCGGGAGGAACAUCAGUGGCGAAGGCGGCUUUCUGGACCAACACUGACGCUGAGGCGCGAAAGCGUGGGGAGCAAACAGG